Molecule: ribosomal RNA, 429 nt
Filed under: uncultured archaeon
Lineage: Archaea
Description: bacterial SSU rRNA
Rfam family: Archaeal small subunit ribosomal RNA
Source: RNAcentral
UACCUGCAGCUCGAGUGGUAACCGCUAUUAUUGGGCCUAAAGCGUCCGUAGCCGGUUUGGUAAAUAUCUGGGUAAAUCGUGAGGCUUAACUUCACGAAUUUCGGAUAGACUGCCAGACUUGGGAUCGGGGGAGGUCAGAGGUACUCCAGGGGUAGCGGUGAAAUGUUGUAAUCCUUGGAGGACCACCGGUAGCGAAGGCGUCUGACUAGAACGAGUCCGACGGUGAGGGACGAAGCCCUGGGGCGCAAACCGGAUUAGAUACCCGGGUAGUCCAGGGUGUAAACGAUGCGGGCUAGGUGUUGGGGCAGCCACGAGCUACUCCAGUGCCGCAGAGAAGUUGUUAAGCCCGCCGCCUGGGGAGUACGGCCGCAAGGCUGAAACUUAAAGGAAUUGGCGGGGGAGCACCACAAGGGGUGAAGGCUGCGGUUU